RNAcentral lists this ribosomal RNA (463 nucleotides) under Comamonas sp. 12M12. Its description in RNAcentral is "bacterial SSU rRNA". It matches the Rfam family "Bacterial small subunit ribosomal RNA", at positions 107 to 567 of the family's 1533-position model. Lineage: Bacteria; Pseudomonadati; Pseudomonadota; Betaproteobacteria; Burkholderiales; Comamonadaceae. The record is from RNAcentral.
UGAGUAACACAUCGGAACGUGCCUAGUAGUGGGGGAUAACUACUCGAAAGAGUAGCUAAUACCGCAUGAGAUCUAAGGAUGAAAGCAGGGGACCUUCGGGCCUUGCGCUACUAGAGCGGCUGAUGGCAGAUUAGGUAGUUGGUGGGAUAAAAGCUUACCAAGCCGACGAUCUGUAGCUGGUCUGAGAGGACGACCAGCCACACUGGGACUGAGACACGGCCCAGACUCCUACGGGAGGCAGCAGUGGGGAAUUUUGGACAAUGGGCGAAAGCCUGAUCCAGCAAUGCCGCGUGUAGGAUGAAGGCCCUCGGGUUGUAAACUACUUUUGUACGGAACGAAAAGCUCUCUUCUAAUAAAGGAGAGUGAUGACGGUACCGUAAGAAUAAGCACCGGCUAACUACGUGCCAGCAGCCGCGGUAAUACGUAGGUGCGAGCGUUAAUCGGAAUUACUGGGCGUAAAGCG